AAGGGCGACGCACUCCUUCCUCAGCUCAAGGAAAAUGACCACCCCUAGUAUUCCACGUAAAACCACCCCAAAUAACAGUGUUCCUCAGGGGAGGAGUAGGGGGAAGGGGGUAAUCAGCAAAUCAGAUUGAGAAUAAUAAUUUUGAAAAUGUACCUGCAGUUCCCAGGAAAAACAAAGUCCAGAUGAGAUCCUUAGUUUGCAGCAUUGUAAUCUGCUGGCCGGGAGGGAUGUUCUUGCCGCGGUAAAUUCUCUGCCCCCCCUUGCCGUGAGUGUGGACGGCGGCAGAGCAAGAGAGCUAGGGGUAGACAAUUGCCAGGCUGAGUAUGAUUAUUUUUGCAGAAUUGUUUCCUGCCAGCCUCUGCCGAGCUGCGUUCACGCGCUGAUCGGAGAAUGAGUGACAGUCCCAGCCUCAGCACACUCUCAACUCGGAGAUCCUUGCGCUGGCCCGGGUUCGCUUUGAUGGAACUGGGUGUUGGUGCUGGAAAGGAAAACCAAGGCUUGAUCUCUGGGCCCGCAAAUAUCCCAGGAACUUGAUU
Molecule: long non-coding RNA, 536 nt
Filed under: Sus scrofa (pig)
Lineage: Eukaryota; Metazoa; Chordata; Mammalia; Artiodactyla; Suidae
Description: lncRNA (ENSSSCG00015009575.1)
Source: RNAcentral